This 278-nucleotide ribosomal RNA is filed under the name salal root associated fungus UBCtra1522.7. RNAcentral's name for it is "partial 28S ribosomal RNA". It matches the Rfam family "Eukaryotic large subunit ribosomal RNA", at positions 202 to 474 of the family's 3401-position model. Lineage: Eukaryota; Fungi; Ascomycota. The record is from RNAcentral.
GUCAUAGAGGGUGAGAAUCCCGUAUAUGGCAUGGACUACCGAUGCUUUUGUGAUACACUCUCAACGAGUCGAGUUGUUUGGGAAUGCAGCUCAAAAUGGGUGGUAAAUUCCAUCUAAAGCUAAAUAUUGGCGAGAGACCGAUAGCGAACAAGUACCGUGAGGGAAAGAUGAAAAGCACUUUGGAAAGAGAGUGAAACAGUACGUGAAAUUGUUGNAAGGGAAGCGUUUGAAGUCAGUCGUAUCUGGCGGGAUUCAGCCGGGCUUUUGCCAGGUGUACU